RNAcentral lists this ribosomal RNA (851 nucleotides) under uncultured Rhizobium sp. RNAcentral's name for it is "bacterial SSU rRNA". It matches the Rfam family "Bacterial small subunit ribosomal RNA", at positions 55 to 945 of the family's 1533-position model. Lineage: Bacteria; Pseudomonadati; Pseudomonadota; Alphaproteobacteria; Hyphomicrobiales; Rhizobiaceae. The record is from RNAcentral.
AUGUCAAKGUCSAACGCCCCACAAGGGGAGUGGCAGACGGGUGAGUAACGCGUGGGAACCUACCUAGAGGUGCGGAAUAGCCCAGGGAAACUUGGAGUAAUACCGCAUAAGCCCGCAAGGGGAAAGAUUUAUCGCCUUUAGAUGGGCCCGCGUCUGAUUAGCUAGUUGGUGAGGUAAUGGCUCACCAAGGCGACGAUCAGUAGCUGGUUUGAGAGAAUGACCAGCCACACUGGGACUGAGACACGGCCCAGACUCCUACGGGAGGCAGCAGUGGGGAAUCUUGGACAAUGGGGGCAACCCUGAUCCAGCCAUGCCGCGUGAGUGACGAAGGCCUUAGGGUUGUAAAGCUCUUUUGGCGGGGACGAUAAUGACGGUACCCGCAGAAUAAGUCCCGGCUAACUUCGUGCCAGCAGCCGCGGUAAUACGAAGGGGACUAGCGUUGUUCGGAAUUACUGGGCGUAAAGCGCACGUAGGCGGAUUUGUUAGUCAGGGGUGAAAUCCCGGGGCUCAACCUCGGAACUGCCUUUGAUACUGCAAGUCUUGAGUCCGGAAGAGGUGAGUGGAAUUCCUAGUGUAGAGGUGAAAUUCGUAGAUAUUAGGAGGAACACCGGUGGCGAAGGCGGCCCCCUGGAUCAUGACUGACGCUGAGGUGCGAAAGCGUGGGUAGCAAACAGGAUUAGAUAUCCUGGUAGUCCACGCCGUAAACGAUGUCGACUAGCCGUUUCGGUCCAUUUAAGGAUUGAGUGGCGCAGCCCACGCGAUAAGUCGACUCGCCUGGGGAGUACGGCCGCAAGGGUUAAAACUCAAAGGAAUUUGAYCGGGGGGCCCGCACAAGCGGGUGGAAGCAUGGU